This 245-nucleotide ribosomal RNA is filed under the name uncultured prokaryote. Its description in RNAcentral is "partial 16S ribosomal RNA". It matches the Rfam family "Bacterial small subunit ribosomal RNA", at positions 524 to 768 of the family's 1533-position model. The record is from RNAcentral.
UACGGAGGAUGCAAGCGUUAUCCUGAUUUAUUGGGUUUAGAGGGUGCGCAGGUUGUUUGAUAAGUCAGUGGUGAAAGUCUGUCGCUUAACGGUAGGAUUGCCAUUGAUACUGUUGGACUUGAAUAUGGAUGAGGUAGGCGGAAUGUGUAGUGUAGCGGUGAAAUGCAUAGAUAUUACACAGAACACCGAUUGCGAAGGCAGCUUACUAAUCCAUCAUUGACGCUGAGGCACGAAAGCGUGGGGAU